AUUGAACGCUGGCGGCAGGCCUAACACAUGCAAGUCGAGCGAGCGGCGGACGGGUGAGUAAUGCCUAGGAAUCUGCCUGGUAGUGGGGGAUAACGUCCGGAACCGGGCGCUAAUACCGCAUACCAUCGGAUGUGCCCAGCUGGGAUUAGCUUGUUGGUGGGGUAACGGCUCACCAAGGCGACGAUCCCUAGCUGGUCUGAGAGGAUGACCAGCCACACUGGAACUGAGACACGGUCCAGACUCCUACGGGAGGCAGCAGUGGGGAAUAUUGCACAAUGGGCGCAAGCCUGAUGCAGCCAUGCCGCGGGUAUGAAGAAGGCCUUCGGGUUGUAAAGUACUUUCAGCGGGGAGGCGUUACCAACAGAAUAAGCACCGGCUAACUUCGUGCCAGCAGCCGCGGUAAUUC
This 406-nucleotide ribosomal RNA is filed under the name uncultured bacterium. RNAcentral's name for it is "partial 16S ribosomal RNA". It matches the Rfam family "Bacterial small subunit ribosomal RNA", at positions 30 to 526 of the family's 1533-position model. The record is from RNAcentral.